UAUUCUGAUUGCUAUGGAAAGCUAACUCAAACACGGUUGUUAUGGUCCCGGUUUCAUAAGUUAUGAACGAGAAUUGUGGCCAGUAGGUAUUUUUGAAAUUGGAACUCUGAUGCUGAUAUUAUGCAGAAAAAUCUGCACACGAGUUUGGAGUAGUUUCGUUGCAAAUUCCGCUUUUCGAUGAGUUUCGGAAAUGUCGGUGGUACUGUUCAAGCUUCGAUUUCAGGUGGGUUCCCUUAGAGCCUUAAACUCUAGUUAGUUUAGCUCCAUUAGUUUCCCCAAAUAAAAUAAAUGCAUGAUAACAAUAGUUCAGUUAGAAUAUCAGUUCCCCAAUUUAUCAAUUGCAUGACAAUACUAGGAUUUAAGGAAUUUAUUGAGUGAGAAUGGUUAAAUUCCCAAACUAUUCUCCGUUCUGAAUAUAUGGACUAAUUAUAGUGUCUGAAAUUAGGAAAAUAUGGAUUGUAGGUGAUUAUUGGCUUGAUUUCUCAGAAAAAUGCAAACAGGGUUCGGUACUGAUGUACUCGCUUAGCGAGGAAUGACUUCGUUGGGCGAGAGUGUCAAAAUAGAACACUGCAGAAUUUUACUUUAAUUGCUAAGUCACUCGUUUAUAUUCCUAUUCUUCCUGAUGUAUUUCUGUAGACACUAUAACAUCGUUACAUAUUUAGAAUGUUAAUCACACCUCAGGAAAUUAAGUAUCAGGAAUCAGGACAGUUUAUAGAUACCCUGGGAGGGAAUUCAUGGGCAGGAUAACAAUCAGGAUUAUUA
Molecule: long non-coding RNA, 762 nt
Filed under: Trifolium pratense (red clover)
Lineage: Eukaryota; Viridiplantae; Streptophyta; Magnoliopsida; Fabales; Fabaceae
Description: long non-coding RNA (TPRA_LNC009125)
Source: RNAcentral